UACGUAGGUGGCAAGCGUUGUCCGGAUUUAUUGGGUUUAAAGGGUGCGUAGGCGGCUUUGUAAGUCAGUGGUGAAAUAUGGCAGCUCAACUGUCAAGGUGCCAUUGAUACUGCGGAGCUUGAGUACAGAUGAGGUAGGCGGAAUUGACGGUGUAGCGGUGAAAUGCUUAGAUAUCGUCAAGAACACCUAUAGCGAAGGCAGCUUACUAGGCUGUAACUGACGCUGAGGCACGAAAGUGCGGGGAUCAAACAGG
This 253-nucleotide ribosomal RNA is filed under the name uncultured bacterium. RNAcentral's name for it is "partial 16S ribosomal RNA". It matches the Rfam family "Bacterial small subunit ribosomal RNA", at positions 524 to 776 of the family's 1533-position model. The record is from RNAcentral.